Molecule: non-coding RNA, 1301 nt
Organism: Arachis ipaensis
Lineage: Eukaryota; Viridiplantae; Streptophyta; Magnoliopsida; Fabales; Fabaceae
Source: RefSeq, a predicted model, not a curated record
UAAAAUCAUUCUUUCUCUUUCUCAUUUUCAUAUAUAUGUUUUUUUGUUCAUCUUAAUCAUAAAAACAACUGAGAAGACAAAAAUUUUAAAAAUAAGAAAAGAGGAUCAGAGACAGGACUGCAAUUCUUAGUAUGGAAGAGUAGGUGGCGUUGAUAGGGGAAAGACUUAUGUGGCAAAGAAUAGAGGGUUAAGGGUGAGAGAGAAAAAGACAGAACAAAGUAGAGAAUAAAAAACACGAAGGAAGAAGGAGAAGAUGGUGCCUACUGCCUAAGAACCGGCGUUCGCCACAAAACAAUGUCGCAACUGCUCCUUCGCCGGUGGCGGCAGGUGCUGCAAAUGUGAAGAACCACUUCAUUACAAGGUUGUUGUAAGUCGGAGAUUUAGACCAUGUUGUCAACGAAAGACACCCCUACUAUUUAUUCAUCCAGGCCCGACAAAGAGUUUCAAUUCAACCAGGAACAAGAUACUUAAAAUCUUUCAUAUUUUCCUUCCUAUUUUUCAAUCUUCUGCCGAAAAAAAUAGAAGAAGAAAUCAUGGCGGUGAUGAAAGGAAGAAUAAUGACGGAAAAAGGAGAAGAGGGUGGCGAUGAACUGGCGUCUCCCGCAGAUCGGCAUUGCAGUCGCUUCUUCGCCGGCUGUGGGUGCUGCGAAUGCGAUAAACCAGUUCGUUCCUUUGCAAGAUCUGGUAAGAGAAUUAUUUAUUUCUAUUAAAUUUGUUCUUUCUUUUCCUCCUAGACAUCAGUUUUUAUAUCUAAUUAGCUGGCGGGGAAAGCAGUCUUUUAACAGAUAUGCAGGUACUGAAACUAGCAUCAUAUUUUACAAUUUUUUGACCUUUUUUCUACUUUAUUAUAUGUCUAAUUAAAUUGAUCAUUCAUGAAACACAUUUUUUUAGGGAAGUAUGUACCUAAGUUAGAACCCCUGAUAAAUGAUAGGAACCUUUCCACUAAUUUCAAAGGUAAGGUUCUACGUAGUGCAUAAAGAAUUUUGUUUUAGUAAUUAAAUGAAGCUAAGAAUAUUUUCCUUAUUUAGUAUCUUGAUGUCUUACGCCUUACACUUCUCUUAUUUUUAUUGUAUUUUUUUUUUUACAAGUCUACUUCUGUGUUUCAAUAAUUUUCUAUAUAUAAUUUUGUUUUGGUAGACAAGUACAUCUUUAAAAUUUACUGUAUUAAACCCUAAAGAACGCAUUUAGACCAUGGUAGAUGGAGAAGUUGUAAAUGAUGAUAUUGUCCUUUGCAAUUUUUGUGGAUUGCAAAAUUUGAACAAAGGCAACUAUAUUAUUACUAGACUAACUCUUGGUCGUUA